UUAGAAAAGGAAUUGCCUAAC
Molecule: non-coding RNA, 21 nt
Organism: Caenorhabditis elegans
Lineage: Eukaryota; Metazoa; Nematoda; Chromadorea; Rhabditida; Rhabditidae
Source: Ensembl